RNAcentral lists this ribosomal RNA (379 nucleotides) under uncultured eukaryote. RNAcentral's name for it is "partial 18S ribosomal RNA". It matches the Rfam family "Eukaryotic small subunit ribosomal RNA", at positions 592 to 975 of the family's 1831-position model. The record is from RNAcentral.
CAAUAGCGUAUAUUAAAGUUGUUGCGGUUAAAAAGCUCGUAGUUGGAUUUCUGCUGAGAACGACCGGUCCGCCCUCUGGGUGUGUAUCUGGCUCUUUCUUGGCAUCUUCUUGGUGAACGUUGCUGCACUUGACUGUGUGGAGCGCUACCCAGGACUUUUACUUUGAGGAAAUUAGAGUGUUCAAAGCAGACCUUUGCUCGAAUACGUUAGCAUGGAAUAAUAAAAUAGGGCGUGCGUUUCUAUUUUGUUGGUUUCUAGAGACGCCGCAAUGAUUAACAGGAACAGUCGGGGGCAUCAGUAUUCAGUUGUCAGAGGUGAAAUUCUUGGAUUUACUGAAGACUAACUACUGCGAAAGCAUUUGCCAUGGAUGUUUNCAUUA